RNAcentral lists this ribosomal RNA (439 nucleotides) under uncultured bacterium. RNAcentral's name for it is "bacterial SSU rRNA". It matches the Rfam family "Bacterial small subunit ribosomal RNA", at positions 43 to 524 of the family's 1533-position model. The record is from RNAcentral.
CAGGCCUAACACAUGCAAGUCGAACGAAGGCUUCGGCCUUAGUGGCGCACGGGUGCGUAACUCGUGGGAAUCUGCCCCUGCGGUUCGGAAUAACAUUUACAAAUGACUGGUAAUACCGGAUGAUGACCUAAGUCCAAAGGAUCUAUGCGCCCAGGGCAUGAGCCCGCGUAGGAUUAACUAGUUGGUGGGGUAAAUGCCUACCAAGGCGACGAUCCUUAGCUGGUCUGAGAGGAUGAUCAACCACACUGGGACUGAGACACGGCCCAGACUCCUACGGGAGGCAGCACUGGGGACUAUUGGACACUGGGCGAAAGCCUGAUCCACCAAUGCCGCCUGAGUGAUGAAGGCCUUACGGUUGUAAAGCUCAACGACCCGGGAUGAUAAUGACCGUACCGCGAGAAUAAGCUCCGGCUAACUCCGUGCCAUCACCCGCGGUAAU